RNAcentral lists this ribosomal RNA (801 nucleotides) under uncultured bacterium. RNAcentral describes it as "bacterial SSU rRNA". It matches the Rfam family "Bacterial small subunit ribosomal RNA", at positions 8 to 809 of the family's 1533-position model. The record is from RNAcentral.
AGAGUUUGAUCCUGGCUCAGGAUGAACGCUGGCGGCGUGCUUAACACAUGCAAGUCGAACGAAGCACUUUGGACAGAUUCUUCGGAUGAAGUUUUUAGUGACUGAGUGGCGGACGGGUGAGUAACGCGUGGGUAACCUGCCUCAUACAGGGGGAUAACAGUUAGAAAUGGCUGCUAAUACCGCAUAAGCGCACAGUACCGCAUGGUACAGUGUGAAAAACUCCGGUGGUAUGAGAUGGACCCGCGUUGGAUUAGCUAGUUGGCAGGGUAACGGCCUACCAAGGCGACGAUCCAUAGCCGGCCUGAGAGGGUGGACGGCCACAUUGGGACUGAGACCCGGCCCAGACUCCUACGGGAGGCAGCAGUGGGGAAUAUUGCACAAUGGGGGAAACCCUGAUGCAGCGACGCCGCGUGAGCGAAGAAGUAUUUCGGUAUGUAAAGCUCUAUCAGCAGGGAAGAAAAUGACGGUACCUGACUAAGAAGCCCCGGCUAACUACGUGCCAGCAGCCGCGGUAAUACGUAGGGGGCAAGCGUUAUCCGGAUUUACUGGGUGUAAAGGGAGCGUAGACGGAAUGGCAAGUCUGAUGUGAAAGGCCGGGGCUCAACCCCGGGACUGCAUUGGAAACUGUCAAUCUAGAGUACCGGAGGGGUAAGUGGAAUUCCUAGUGUAGCGGUGAAAUGCGUAGAUAUUAGGAGGAACACCAGUGGCGAAGGCGGCUUACUGGACGGUAACUGACGUUGAGGCUCGAAAGCGUGGGGAGCAAACAGGAUUAGAUACCCUGGUAGUCCACGCCGUAAACGA